UGGAAUCGCUAGUAAUCGCGGAUCAGCACGCCGCGGUGAAUACGUUCCCGGGCCUUGUACACACCGCCCGUCACACCAUGGAAGUCUGCAAUGCCCGAAGCCGGUGGCCUAACCACUUAUGUGGAAGGAGCCGUCUAAGGCAGGGCAGAUGACUGGGGUGAAGUCGUAACAAGGUACC
Molecule: ribosomal RNA, 178 nt
Filed under: uncultured bacterium
Lineage: Bacteria
Description: partial 16S ribosomal RNA
Rfam family: Bacterial small subunit ribosomal RNA
Source: RNAcentral